Molecule: ribosomal RNA, 253 nt
Filed under: uncultured bacterium
Lineage: Bacteria
Description: partial 16S ribosomal RNA
Rfam family: Bacterial small subunit ribosomal RNA
Source: RNAcentral
UACGUAGGUGGCAAGCGUUGUCCGGAUUUACUGGGCGUAAAGAGCGCGCAGGCGGUCGUUCAAGUCGCGUGUGAAAGCCCCCGGCUCAACUGGGGAGGGUCACGCGAUACUGAUCGACUCGAAGGCAGGAGAGGGUAGUGGAAUUCCCGGUGUAGUGGUGAAAUGCGUAGAUAUCGGGAGGAACACCAGUGGCGAAGGCGACUACCUGGCCUGUUCUUGACGCUGAGACGCGAAAGCGUGGGGAGCGAACAGG